ACCUGGCUGGCUCAGUCAGUAAAGCACAUGACUCUUGAUCUUGGGGUUGUGAGUUCAAGCCCCAUGUUGGAUG
RNAcentral lists this transfer RNA (73 nucleotides) under Canis lupus familiaris (dog). It matches the Rfam family "tRNA". From Rfam's summary of the family: Transfer RNA (tRNA) molecules are approximately 80 nucleotides in length. Lineage: Eukaryota; Metazoa; Chordata; Mammalia; Carnivora; Canidae. RNAcentral also lists the same sequence under 1 other name. The record is from Rfam by way of RNAcentral.